Lathyrus oleraceus (garden pea) is the source of this 1279-nucleotide long non-coding RNA. RefSeq lists it as uncharacterized. The transcript has 3 exons. Lineage: Eukaryota; Viridiplantae; Streptophyta; Magnoliopsida; Fabales; Fabaceae. The record is from RefSeq and is a predicted model, not a curated record.
AAUGCCAAAAAACCCACACACCCAAGACCUGCCUACACCAAAGCGCAUCCCAAAGAGAUGCCUUCAACAUCCAAAUGCGAAACUUUACGGCGUCGGAGAAGCAUUCGAAUUGGUGGCAUCUACGACUCAACCACACACUCACCUCAACGUCCGACGUCUCCUUCUAUUCAUGGUUGGUUGAGAUGGAGAUGAAGCUUCGCGUGCACUGUUUAUUGAAAUGGAGAAUGUGGAUCCGUGUUCGGGUUCAUGCGUUGCCUGGAGAAGAGGGUGAGUAUGUUCAAUUCCGUGCGUGUCGCGUAGAGGUGAAAGUGAAGGUGAUUGUUGCUGCGUUAUGGAGCGUCAUUGACGUUUUGUAUGUUGCGAGUGAUUCAAUUCGUGGUCGUCGACGGCGAAGCGUGAAGGACGCAGUUUCUGACCUAUGCCUUGCUAUCGUCUUCCGUCUAUUUCGUAAUUUCUUCUUCUUCCUCCCGUAGACCGUAUGGCUACGAUGAUGAUUGAGGCGUGCGUUGCAGCACGACGGUGGAGACGCCGUUUCGGACGACGUCACAAGCUUGCCGUCGAAGCCAGAACAAAAGAAGAGACGAAGAACAUGGCUCUAGCAUUGACUCAAUUCUUUGGAACGUCGACGCGAGCAGGUUGGGUUUUUGAGGAUUGGAGAGAAGAAGAUUCUGAGGUGAUGAAGAGAAGUCGUAUUGAAGAAAUGGUGAAAGUUGAAGAGAAGAAGGAUUGAAGAAAUGGUGAAAGUUGAAGAGAAGAAGGAUUGAAGAAAUGGUGAAGGGUGAAAAGUGGGAGAAGAAUCAUUUUGAACUUGAAAUCGUUCUGGACUUUUCAAGGAUGAAAACAGAAUGAAGAGUGGAGAAUCACAAGAGGGUAGCUUGAAGAAUGACUUGAGGUGGCGACGAAGAUGAAGAUUGAAAACUCUAAACAAAAUUCUGCAGUGAGGUGCUUUAUGGAAGGGAAAAGCUUGGCUAUGGAGUGCAUGAUUAUGAAGAUGGAAGUGUAAUGCUUGUAGUUUAAAUGAAUUUGGAUUAGAUGUUAGAACAUUAUGUCACAAGCUUGUAUUUUUUGGAUUUUCUUCAUGUGUAGGUAUUGGCAAUGAUCACGUGCUUGGUUCUUGAAUUUGAAUUUUGAGGUAGGAAAUGGAGAAUCAAUGAAAGUUUGGAUUGGUUUUGUGUAAUUGUUUUAAUUGUUGUAAAUUGAAACAAAUGGUUGGAUAUUGUCAUGUAGUAGUGUGUAGAUUGGUUUGGAUGGAAAAUGAAGAUGUUGAAUUAUGAUUGAA